This is a long non-coding RNA of Helianthus annuus (common sunflower), 990 nucleotides long. RefSeq lists it as uncharacterized. The transcript is spliced from 5 exons. NCBI's taxonomy places the organism in Eukaryota, Viridiplantae, Streptophyta, Magnoliopsida, Asterales, Asteraceae. The record is from RefSeq and is a predicted model, not a curated record.
AAUCACAUAUGGGACACCUGUCCUUCAAUUAUGCAAUUGGUUUUUGCUUUUGGCGCACAAAUUGAAGCUUCCUUUUCCCGGACGAAUACCCGUUUUCUUGGCCCAUUACACAAAACUCAUAUUCCAUUCAUCUAUUCUCAUCCAAAACCCUAGACAAGUUUUCCUCUCCCAUUCAUCCGUCUGCCACCUCCUAACUUCUCCUCUCAAAUCUCUAAUGUUCUCGAUGGAUUCAACACCAUAUCCGCCGCUGCGCAUCCUCAAACCCACCAUGGCCACCGCUGCGCAUCCUCCAAACCCACCAUGGCCGCCGCUGCACAUCCUCCAAACCCUAGAUCUAAUACCAGAGUACUCUAGAUUGUUGCUUUGGACCCGGGCUUAUGGUUCAAAGAAUGUUAUUUUUGUUUCAGUUGCUCCGGACCUGGGAUUAUGGUUCAAAGAAUAAUUGAGAUGACUUUUGUAGGUCACUUAAUGUUUCAGAUCUAGAAUGUCACCUGCCUAUGAUUUGUUAAUCUACCCGAACAGGAGAGCCAGGGUUGACUCGAGGUGCAUCCUAAUACAACGAGGUUAACUUUACAAGUUGUAAGUGUUGAAGUUGACAAUAUACGCGCACUGAAGGUGAGAUUGUAUACUUUCAUAUGGGAAGGGGUAGCAGCAACAACUGAGCGACAAACGAGCUGAGAUAAGACUCUCAAAUCAUAGACCCGUUAUAUGUUAGGUUUUGAAGCGUUUUCAUUAAAAAAGUUACAACGUGCCAUUUCCUGAUGCGGAAAUGGAAAACUAUUGCUCGACGUGUUUAAGAUAAAACAAGUCAGCGUUUUUUAUAUGCAUCCGUAUUAGGAUUGUAGUUUCACUUUGUCAUUAGACUUAUGUAAUAUGUAUAUUAUGCACGUUUAAUUUUAGUUUCAAUAAGACCACUAAACAUUCAAAGUAUUGUUAUGUGUUAAACCAUGUGUUAUUUAUAUUAGAUAAGGAUGUGAAUGUUAUUUUUUA